RNAcentral lists this long non-coding RNA (382 nucleotides) under Elaeis guineensis (African oil palm). RNAcentral's name for it is "long non-coding RNA (EGUI_LNC035972)". Lineage: Eukaryota; Viridiplantae; Streptophyta; Magnoliopsida; Arecales; Arecaceae. The record is from RNAcentral.
UCCUUCAAUCGGAGGAAGUCUUCUUUGUCGGUGGCAUCGACUUUGGUGUUUUCAUUCGGGCUCACCUUUAAAUUUUUCAAGUGGAAGGAAAGUCCAACGGUAAAAAAGAAGAGACAAAAAAGAAUUGAUUUUUCCAUCUAUAGAUGGAAGAAGGAAGAUCGGUAAUGAAGGACAGAUCCUCUUUCGGACUAAAGAACCACCAAUUCUCAGUCUUAGGGUGGGGGCGGAGUACAAAGAAGGGUCGGAAAAGUGACAUUCGAAGAUUGGUCGGAAGCAUAUGGCAAAACUAAUAAGAAGUCGAAUGGGGUUCGGAGUAAGUUGGUCCGGAUAGAUACUAUAAUAAUCCAAAACAUUUCGAACAAAGUCCAGAAUCGAAAAAUGA